UUUUCCCAAAUUCGACACACAAUACACGAGCAAGAAUAAAAUCUCUUUCAAAAGAAAAGCUAAGCUAAAGAUUGCAAUUUUCUCCUUCAAAAAUUCUGAAAAUGGCGACCAUCCCAUCUGCCGCAAUCAAUCUUGCACUAUCUACAAGAUUUAAACCAUUCAUGGGCACUUCUCUUCUGGGUUCUUCCAGUUCAGUAUUCUUCAAUAACAAUAUCAGUGGCUGUGCCAAUCUGAGCCUGGUUCUUGGUGGGUCGAGAAGAAUGAGCAGGAACCAGAAAAAGGGGAUGUCGUGUAACUGCUUGUUCGGGCUUGGGGUGCCGGAGCUGGUGGUCAUUGCUGGAGUGGCUGCCCUUGUUUUCGGGCCCAAGCAGAUUCCGGAAGUCGGCCGCAGUAUUGGCAAGACUGUCAAGAGCUUCCAACAGGAAGUGCUUUCAGUAUAGAUUCAGGAUAUGAAGGGUGGGCCUGCAAGUGCAAACAUCUUCAUGCUUUCAGUCCGAACUCCAAAAUCACCUUCUCGGCCUAGUAUAAACAUUUGAAGAACUUUCAACAACGCUUAUUUUGAUUCUAAAACCAUUUUGGACAUUGAUGUCUUAAAGCUGUUUAGGCUGAAAUAACUUGCUAGCGUGAUUCACUCUUCAUCUCAGGCUGCAAAAGAAUUUGAAACAGAACUGAAAAAGGAUACUGAUUCUCCAUUGGAGUCGCCUGAAUAUAUUACAAGAGUGAGAGAAGAAGAGAAGCAAGAGGCCGAAGUCUCGAG
RNA transcript from Olea europaea var. sylvestris, 757 nucleotides. It is a transcript of the gene named sec-independent protein translocase protein TATA, chloroplastic-like, with no coding region annotated. Lineage: Eukaryota; Viridiplantae; Streptophyta; Magnoliopsida; Lamiales; Oleaceae. The transcript has 3 exons. The record is from RefSeq and is a predicted model, not a curated record.